GCGGAUGUGGCGGAACGGCAGACGCGCUAGGUUCAGGUCCUAGUGUUCGCAAGAACGUGGGGGUUCAAAUCCCUUUAUCCGCACCA
This 86-nucleotide transfer RNA is filed under the name Tissierellia bacterium. RNAcentral's name for it is "tRNA-Leu". It matches the Rfam family "tRNA". Rfam says of the family: Transfer RNA (tRNA) molecules are approximately 80 nucleotides in length. The record is from RNAcentral. Lineage: Bacteria; Bacillati; Bacillota; Tissierellia.